UACGUAGGGUGCAAGCGUUGUCCGGAAUUAUUGGGCGUAAAGAGCUCGUAGGCGGUUUGUUGCGUCGGCUGUGAAAUCCCGAGGCUCAACCUCGGGUCUGCAGUCGAUACGAGCAAACUAGAGUGUUGCAGGGGAGACUGGAAUUCCUGGUGUAGCGGUGAAAUGCGCAGAUAUCAGGAGGAACACCGGUGGCGAAGGCGGGUCUCUGGGACGGUACUGACGCUAAGGCGCGAAAGCGUGGGGAGAGAACAGG
RNAcentral lists this ribosomal RNA (253 nucleotides) under uncultured bacterium. Its description in RNAcentral is "partial 16S ribosomal RNA". It matches the Rfam family "Bacterial small subunit ribosomal RNA", at positions 524 to 776 of the family's 1533-position model. The record is from RNAcentral.